UACGGAGGGUGCAAGCGUUAUCCGGAUUCACUGGGUUUAAAGGGCGCGUAGGUGGGUCUGUAAGUCAGUGGUGAAAUCUCCGAGCUUAACUCGGAAACUGCCAUUGAUACUAUAGGUCUUGAAUUAUCUGGAGGUGAGCGGAAUAUGUCAUGUAGCGGUGAAAUGCUUAGAUAUGACAUAGAACACCAAUUGCGAAGGCAGCUGGCUACACAAAUAUUGACACUGAGGCACGAAAGCGUGGGGAGCAAACAGG
This 253-nucleotide ribosomal RNA is filed under the name uncultured bacterium. RNAcentral's name for it is "partial 16S ribosomal RNA". It matches the Rfam family "Bacterial small subunit ribosomal RNA", at positions 524 to 776 of the family's 1533-position model. The record is from RNAcentral.